UACGUAGGGGCCCAGCGUUGUCCGGAUUCAUUGGGCGUAAAGCGCGCGCAGGCGGCCCGGUGUGCCGCCCGUGAAAUCCCCCGGCUCAACCGGGGGGGGUCGGGCGAGACUGUCGGGCUGGAGGCGGGGAGGGGGCAGCGGAAUUCCCGGUGUAGUGGUGGAAUGCGUAGAUAUCGGGAGGAACACCAGUGGCGAAGGCGGCUGCCUGGACCGGGCCUGACGCUGAGGCGCGAAAGCGUGGGGAGCAAACCGG
This 253-nucleotide ribosomal RNA is filed under the name uncultured bacterium. RNAcentral describes it as "partial 16S ribosomal RNA". It matches the Rfam family "Bacterial small subunit ribosomal RNA", at positions 524 to 776 of the family's 1533-position model. The record is from RNAcentral.